UACAGAGAGGGCAAGCGUUAUUCGGAAUUAUUGGGCGUAAAGGGCGCGUAGGCGGCCCGCUAAGUCGAACGUGAAAUCCCCAGGCUCAACCUGGGAACUGCGUCCGAUACUGGCAGGCUUGAAUCCGGGAGAGGGAUGUGGAAUUCCAGGUGUAGCGGUGAAAUGCGUAGAUAUCUGGAGGAACACCGGUGGCGAAGGCGGCAUCCUGGACCGGUAUUGACGCUGAGGCGCGAAAGCUAGGGGAGCAAACGGG
Molecule: ribosomal RNA, 253 nt
Filed under: uncultured bacterium
Lineage: Bacteria
Description: partial 16S ribosomal RNA
Rfam family: Bacterial small subunit ribosomal RNA
Source: RNAcentral